This is an RNA transcript of Drosophila willistoni, 596 nucleotides long. RefSeq lists it as uncharacterized. The record is from RefSeq and is a predicted model, not a curated record. The transcript has 4 exons. NCBI's taxonomy places the organism in Eukaryota, Metazoa, Arthropoda, Insecta, Diptera, Drosophilidae.
GGCCCGAGCAGCAGCGUCAAGUUCGAUGAAACUAGAUAAAGUUAUUCGCGUUUUCCCAAUGAUGAUCCUCAUCCUGGCGAUCAUUAUGAUUGGUGGCACAUUUGCCGAUCUACGUUAUCGUGGCAAUGCCAUCCAUCCAGAUUAUCCCGGUCAGUGUUACUACGAGGAGCUAAAGCAACCGAUACCCAAAAAUCAAUCAUACAAGCCCAUCAAUCGCGAUGGCCACUGUGAAUCGAUUUAUUGUCGUCCGGAUUUUGUACUCGAGAUUGCCUACUGCGGACGACAUAAUUUACGGCCCACAGGAAAUUGUAAAAUCGAUUCCGAUAUGCGUCGCUCGUUUCCCGAUUGUUGUCCCAAAUUGAUAUGCCAGGACCCGGAGAGCAAUUAUAUUUAAAUAUAAAAGGAAAUUAAUGAAUCCUUCAUUGGUUGUGAAUUAGCAACAAAACCGUAUUACUUUACUGUAUUUACUGUGUUCGUACAUUCAAAACUUUUGGUACCCUGAAAUCCCGUUAAGGAGUACCUACGUAAACAUAUUAAAAUACAAAUAUAUUUCUUAUCUACCACAUUGGAUCGAGUGAAUAAACUUCUGUAACCGA